RNAcentral lists this ribosomal RNA (253 nucleotides) under uncultured bacterium. RNAcentral's name for it is "partial 16S ribosomal RNA". It matches the Rfam family "Bacterial small subunit ribosomal RNA", at positions 524 to 776 of the family's 1533-position model. The record is from RNAcentral.
AACGUAGGAGACAACCGUUAUCCGGAGUUACUGGGCGUAAAGGGCGUGUAGGCGGUUUGUUAAGUCUGGCGUGAAAGCUCUCGGCUAAACCGGGAGAGGUCGUUGGAUACUGGCAAACUAGAGGACGGUAGAGGCGUGUGGAAUUCCGGGUGUAGUGGUGAAAUGCGUAGAGAUCCGGAGGAACACCAGUGGCGAAGGCGACACGCUGGGCCGUACCUGACGCUGAGGAGCGAAAGCAUGGGGAGCGAACAGG